RNAcentral lists this ribosomal RNA (321 nucleotides) under Triticum aestivum (bread wheat). RNAcentral's name for it is "partial small subunit ribosomal RNA". Lineage: Eukaryota; Viridiplantae; Streptophyta; Magnoliopsida; Poales; Poaceae. The record is from RNAcentral.
AUGGAUGGGAUCCCUGAAGCCCCGCCAAGAGAAACCAAUGUCACCCCUCAACCGGUGACGCUCUCCUUGCCACAGCAGCUCUCGCAUACUUCCCCCAAGGAACCUCAUACUCGUAAUCCGACGGUUGAUGCAUCAACCUGUGAUCAGCCCGCCCGACUUUGUGCCGUACAGGCCAUGUCAUCAUCCGCCCCAGAGCAACCAGUGGUCAGGCCUACAACUACUGAAGACGCACCACGGUUUCAGAUGCCGGCCGCUGAAGCAGCGGGGGAGACCCAGCUGCACCACAUGCUCAGCAACCAACCUGGUGGAACGGACUACUAA